AACGAACGCUGGCGGCGUGCUUAACACAUGCAAGUCGAACGAGAAAGCUCUACGGAGUGAGUAUAGUGGCGAACGGGUGAGUAACACGUAGGUACCUACCGAACAGCGGGGGACAACUCGGAGAAAUCCGGGCUAAUACCGCAUACGCAAGAAAUUGGAAAGAAUGCCUCUCCUUGGAAGCAUUCACUGUUUGAUGGGCCUGCGGGACAUUAGCUUGAUGGUGGGGUAAUGGCCUACCUUGGCAACGAUGUCUAGCGGAUCUGAGAGGAUGAUCCGCCACACUGGAACUGAGACACGGUCCAG
RNAcentral lists this ribosomal RNA (303 nucleotides) under uncultured Bacteriovorax sp. RNAcentral describes it as "bacterial SSU rRNA". It matches the Rfam family "Bacterial small subunit ribosomal RNA", at positions 29 to 334 of the family's 1533-position model. Lineage: Bacteria; Pseudomonadati; Bdellovibrionota; Bacteriovoracia; Bacteriovoracales; Bacteriovoracaceae. The record is from RNAcentral.